Molecule: ribosomal RNA, 252 nt
Filed under: uncultured bacterium
Lineage: Bacteria
Description: partial 16S ribosomal RNA
Rfam family: Bacterial small subunit ribosomal RNA
Source: RNAcentral
ACGGAGGGUGCAAGCGUUAAUCGGAAUUACUGGGCGUAAAGCGCGCGUAGGCGGUUUGUUAAGCGAGAUGUGAAAGCCCUGGGCUCAACCUGGGAACUGCAUUUCGAACUGGCAGGCUAGAGUACAGAAGAGGGUGGUGGAAUUUCCAGUGUAGCGGUGAAAUGCGUAGAGAUUGGAAGGAACAUCAGUGGCGAAGGCGACCACCUGGACUGAUACUGACGCUGAGGUGCGAAAGCGUGGGGAGCAAACAGG